GUCAAAAUGGCUAAGUGGUCAAGUCAUUCGUCUAUUAAUCAAAAGGUCUAGGGUUCGAUACCAGUUCUCAACG
This 73-nucleotide transfer RNA is filed under the name Trichomalopsis sarcophagae. RNAcentral describes it as "tRNA-OTHER". The record is from RNAcentral. Lineage: Eukaryota; Metazoa; Arthropoda; Insecta; Hymenoptera; Pteromalidae.